CCUACGGGAGGCUGCAGUAGGGAAUAUUGCUCAAUGGGGGAAACCCUGAAGCAGCAACGCCGCGUGGAGGAUGAAGGUCUUCGGAGUGUAAACUCCUUUUUUUAGAGAAGAUAAUGACGGUAUGUAACGAAUAAGCACCGGCUAACUCCGUGCCAGCAGCCGCGGUAAUACGGAGGGUGCAAGCGUUACUCGGAAUCACUGGGCGUAAAGAGCGCGUAGGCGGGUUAGCAAGUCAGAUGUGAAAUCCUAUGGCUUAACCAUAGAACUGCAUUUGAAACUGUUAGUCUAGAGUAUGGGAGAGGUAGGCGGAAUUCUUGGUGUAGGGGUAAAAUCCGUAGAGAUCAAGAGGAAUACUGAUUGCGAAGGCGACCUACUAGAACAUAACUGACGCUGAUGCGCGAAAGCGUGGGGAGCAAACAGGAUUAGAUACCCGUGUAGUC
RNAcentral lists this ribosomal RNA (440 nucleotides) under uncultured bacterium. RNAcentral's name for it is "partial 16S ribosomal RNA". It matches the Rfam family "Bacterial small subunit ribosomal RNA", at positions 338 to 795 of the family's 1533-position model. The record is from RNAcentral.